RNAcentral lists this ribosomal RNA (490 nucleotides) under uncultured bacterium. RNAcentral's name for it is "partial 16S ribosomal RNA". It matches the Rfam family "Bacterial small subunit ribosomal RNA", at positions 28 to 507 of the family's 1533-position model. The record is from RNAcentral.
GAUGAACGCUAGCUACAGGCUUAACACAUGCAAGUCGCGGGGCAGCAUGGGGGUUGCUUGCAAUCCCCGAUGGCGACCGGCGCACGGGUGAGUAACGCGUAUCCAACCUGCCCUUCACCACGGGAUAACCCGGCGAAAGUCGGACUAAUACCGUAUGUUGUCCAUUGACGGCAUCCGAUUUGGACGAAAGGUUUGGCGGUGAAGGAUGGGGAUGCGUCCGAUUAGCUGGACGGCGGGGUGACGGCCCACCGUGGUGACGAUCGGUAGGGGUUCUGAGAGGAAGGUCCCCCACACUGGAACUGAGACACGGUCCAGACUCCUACGGGAGGCAGCAGUGAGGAAUAUUGGUCAAUGGGCGUAAGCCUGAACCAGCCAAGUAGCGUGCAGGAUGACGGACCUAUGGGUUGUAAACUGCUUUUAUGCGGGGAUAAAGUGGCCCACGUGUGGGUUUUUGCAGGUACCGCAUGAAUAAGGACCGGCUAAUUCCGUG